GGGGGUAUAGCUCAGUGGUAGAGCACAUGCUUAGCAUGCACGAGGUCCUGGGUUCAAUCCCCAGUACCUCCA
RNAcentral lists this transfer RNA (72 nucleotides) under Camelus bactrianus (Bactrian camel). It matches the Rfam family "tRNA". From Rfam's summary of the family: Transfer RNA (tRNA) molecules are approximately 80 nucleotides in length. Their secondary structure includes four short double-helical elements and three loops (D, anti-codon, and T loops). The record is from Rfam by way of RNAcentral. RNAcentral also lists the same sequence under 2 other names. Lineage: Eukaryota; Metazoa; Chordata; Mammalia; Artiodactyla; Camelidae.